RNAcentral lists this ribosomal RNA (500 nucleotides) under uncultured bacterium. RNAcentral describes it as "bacterial SSU rRNA". It matches the Rfam family "Bacterial small subunit ribosomal RNA", at positions 173 to 688 of the family's 1533-position model. The record is from RNAcentral.
AUAUGACAUACUGGCGCAUGUUGGUGUGUGGAAACUUUUUGGGUAGGGGAUGUGCUCGCGGCCUAUCAGCUUGAUGGUGGGGUAAUGGCCUACCAUGGCUUCGACGGGUAGCCGGCCUGAGAGGGUGACCGGUCACACUGGGACUGAGACACGGCCCAGACUCCUACGGGAGGCAGCAGUGGGGAAUAUUGGACAAUGGGCGGAAGCCUGAUGCAGCGACGCCGCGUGAGGGAUGACGGCCUUCGGGUUGUAAACCUCUUUCAGCAGGGAAGAAGCGAAAGUGACGGUACCUGCAGAAGAAGCACCGGCUAACUACGUGCCAGCAGCCGCGGUAAUACGUAGGGUGCGAGCGUUGUCCGGAAUUAUUGGGCGUAAAGAGCUUGUAGGCGGUUUGUCGCGUCUGCAGUGAAAAUCCGGGGCUCAACCCCGGACUUGCUGUGGGUACGGGCAGACUAGAGUGUGGUAGGGGAGACCGGAAUUCCUGGUGUAGCGGUGGAAUG